RNAcentral lists this unclassified non-coding RNA (242 nucleotides) under fungal sp. RNAcentral's name for it is "partial internal transcribed spacer region". The stretch from base 1 to 46 matches the Rfam family "Eukaryotic small subunit ribosomal RNA", at positions 1786 to 1831 of the family's 1831-position model. Lineage: Eukaryota; Fungi. The record is from RNAcentral.
AAGUCGUAACAAGGUAUCCGUAGGUGAACCUGCGGAUGGAUCAUUAACAAAGCAGAAUAGCUUUGCACCAAUGUGGUCGAAAGGAGAGAAGAGAGAGAGGGUGCGGGGGAGACAGACGGCGUCAGCCGACGAGCCCGCGCACCCGUCUACUUAUUAUUAACCCUAGUCAUUGAAUGAGUUAUCCAUGUCUAUUACAUUCAUCAUAUUCUAUACAACUGCUAGCAACGGAUCACUCGGCUCUC